Long non-coding RNA from Rana temporaria (common frog), 328 nucleotides. RefSeq lists it as uncharacterized. The record is from RefSeq and is a predicted model, not a curated record. NCBI's taxonomy places the organism in Eukaryota, Metazoa, Chordata, Amphibia, Anura, Ranidae. The transcript has 3 exons.
GAUUUAUUUUUCAUCUCCACUUGGAAUGCUGGUCUAUCCAUACUGAGCCUACUGAUUAGGAGUGUUGUGAUACCUCAUAUCCAUUCUUGACUGCUGACACUUUUUAUGUGAAUACGUUUGUUAUUUCACACACCCCUCAUGGUCUUGGAGCCCUCUGGGAGUGGGGGAGACCUAUGGGCAUUGAGCAUACCAUCUGACUUGGCCGCAUUGGAUCCGGCGCGCACACAGGCUCUCUGGGGACGAUCUGGGCACUCCAAGCUUGGGAGAGGAAAAACCUCACUGCUAAUGUUCCCUGAAGAAGGAUGUAUUACUAAAAGCAUUUGAAACG